UGUGCGCGAGAGUGUGUGCAUCUGCCUCCUUCCUCUGCCACUUUCGUGUUGUUCGCCUUUGCCUUGGUGGUCUCUAUCCUCAUCCGGCAUUUGCAGACUUUCCAGUAUCAGCGGCCGUGCGCGCACGCGAGUGUCUUCGUAUACGCAAUAUCGAUUUGUCUCUGUACAGGCCUCUGAGUUGCUGAUUCACACACUCACACACAAACAUCCUCUCACGCUCAUAUUUAUCUGUCUCUCCCGCCAAGACGAAGAAAAGCGAAGGCCUAGAGCGCAGAGAACGUGUCUUUGCGGUUAAGGGGAGACGCACACCCCGGGGCAAGCGAUUGUGGCCCCACGCAACUCACCCCCAUCAAAAAAAAAGGCAAAAAGAGACGCGAAGCGGAAAGGCGCACACAACGAUUUGCAUAAAGACUGGAAGAGCGCAAAAAAAAAGGGAAUUCAACGAGGCGGUCCACUGCUCCUCCCCGAAAAGGCAGACGCGGAUCCGUUACGAGGCGAUUGGCACAUAUACAUUUGCAUCGCGAGCGAGCAAGAGGUGACGCACACCUUUCUUCCUCUGCGUUUCUCUCGAUGCGCGUGUGUGUGUCUGUGAUUUCUGCUGUCCCGUAUCUCUGGCUUGUACGUACUUGCUCUUUUUUGUAUGCGUGCAUGUAGGUGUGUGUAGGUGUGUAUGUGUGUGUGUAUCGCCCUCCCCCGCUGCAGUGGUCGCUGUCUCUCACGAUUCUCUGUUCAUUUUUUCCCUUUGUUUGCUUUUUCGCUUAUCGCUCAGUGCCUUUGGCUUCUCUUUGUGUUUUCGCUUGUGCAUCAUCUGUGCCUCGAGGGACCUCACAGUUUGCGUGCCCUUCCGUUGUUGGAUAAUUUGUUGCGUCUAUUCUUCACUGCGUUGCCGUGUGCCUGGCGCGCGCUCUCUCUCUCUCUGUGUGUGUGUGUGUGUGUGGGAGAGAGAGUGCGAACCCCCCCUCCCCCCUCCCCCCAACCGUCUUUGUGUGCUUCUUUCGAUUUCUGUCUUUCACCUGUUGGCCAGUAUAUCAGCCUCCUUUCCCCUCCCCGAACUGCUCCCUGAUCUCGUACACUGGAGAUCUCCGCGCCGCUUUGCGUGUGCGUGUGCGUGUGCGUGUGCGUGUGCGUGUGCGCGCGCUCGUCACUGGCCUGCCGCUGUGCCGCUUUCUUUGGCCGUUUUAUCACCUCCGUUUCGUUUGCGCUCUUCUGUACGUGCGCGUUUGCGCAUCUGUGUUUCGAGUGUGCCCCUGCUGCCCCUCCCCGUCUCUUGCUCUGCCCCCGUGUCGUGCUCGUCCAUUCGCGCUGCUAUCAAUAUCUUUUUUUUUAUCUUUCCCUUUUCUUUUUCUCUCCUCAUUCGUUUUUUGUUUCCGCCUGUGACGAGGCAACGCGAAAGAGCGGCACUUGAGCAGAGACGAAAAACAACAAAAAAAACGACGAAACCCAUAUUGGGGGGAGGGGGAGCGAAGCCCGCAGCUGCAGCAGCACCAUCAUCAUCAUUGUUGGCGCCAUCGUCACUGCGGCUUGUACAUAUAUAGUACUACUGCUCUUUCUUCGCGUCUCGUCUGUUUUUUUUUUUCAGUUUCGUGAGUGUGUGCGCCCUUGUUCUUAUAUAUAUAUAUAUACCUGCCACUAACGGAGGGAGGAAAGCCACCCUUGCAGUUAUCAACAUUACCACCGUGAGCACCGAAGAGGUGGCAACAGCCAGUGGCGCGGCGACAAAAACCUGUUCACAUAUCUUUUUGUUGGUUUGGAGACUCCUCUAUGCCCUUUCGGCCUAUCGGCCUUUGCUACCUCCCUCCCUUUCGCACAGCUGCCGCCUACCCUUUCCGUGGGCGAGAACAGCAAGCAAAAAAAAACUGUAGGAAGGCGCUGCGAAGUCUUAUAAGACGAAAGAAAGUCGAAUCGAAGGAGGCGGCGCCACUCGGCAGCACGCGCGGCAAAGAAGAGCCUUGCUGCUAAGAGGUGUUGGUUGCCUAAUUGACACCCGCCCACACACCCCGCGUGCUCUCCUCUCUUCAACUCAUUUUUUUUUAACUGCCUUCGUGGGUCUUGUUCCCGCUGCUGUUUUCCUGGAAAGAAAAAAGGAAACGAAGAAGGCGUGCCGACCUUCGUGUGUGUGCGUGUGCGUAUUUCUUCUUCAUCCUUUUCUGCGCACCUUCUCUCAUCAUCCUCAUCAUCGCCCGUGUGGUAGCUUUUUGACUGGAAGGAAGUAAAGGAAGGUGCCCCCCACCCCCCACCUCACACGCACACACACGAAAACACGCACGCAAAACAAG
RNAcentral lists this unclassified non-coding RNA (2276 nucleotides) under Leishmania donovani. Its description in RNAcentral is "gene:unknown". The record is from RNAcentral. Lineage: Eukaryota; Euglenozoa; Kinetoplastea; Trypanosomatida; Trypanosomatidae.